This 549-nucleotide ribosomal RNA is filed under the name uncultured Glomus. Its description in RNAcentral is "SSU rRNA". It matches the Rfam family "Eukaryotic small subunit ribosomal RNA", at positions 548 to 1098 of the family's 1831-position model. Lineage: Eukaryota; Fungi; Glomeromycota; Glomeromycetes; Glomerales; Glomeraceae. The record is from RNAcentral.
UUGGAGGGCAAGUCUGGUGCCAGCAGCCGCGGUAAUUCCAGCUCCAAUAGCGUAUAUUAAAGUUGUUGCAGUUAAAAAGCUCGUAGUUGAAUUUCGGGAUCGACGGGUCGGUCGCGCCUCUGGUGUGUACUGGCCCUGUCGGUUUCUCCCUUCUGACGAACCACGAUGUCAUUAAUUUGGUGUCGUGGGAAAUCAGGACUGUUACUUUGAAAAAAUUAGAGUGUUUAAAGCAGGCAUUCGCUUGAAUACAUUAGCAUGGAAUAAUGAAAUAGGACGUUUGAUCUUAUUUUGUUGGUUUCUAAGAUCGACGUAAUGGUUAAUAGGGAUAGUUGGGGGCAUUAGUAUUCAAUUGUCAGAGGUGAAAUUCUUGGAUUUAUUGAAGACUAACUACUGCGAAAGCAUUUGCCAAGGAUGUUUUCAUUAAUCAAGAACGAAAGUUAGGGGAUCGAAGACGAUCAGAUACCGUCGUAGUCUUAACCAUAAACUAUGCCGACUAGGGAUCGGAUGAUGUUAAUUUUUUAAUGACUCAUUCGGCGCCUUACGGGAAAC